UACGGAGGGAGCUAGCGUUGUUCGGAAUUACUGGGCGUAAAGCGCACGUAGGCGGCUUUCUAAGUCAGGGGUGAAAUCCCGGGGCUCAACCCCGGAACUGCCCUUGAAACUGGAUGGCUAGAAUCCUGGAGAGGCGAGUGGAAUUCCGAGUGUAGAGGUGAAAUCCGUAGAUAUUCGGAAGAACACCAGUGGCGAAGGCGACUCGCUGGACAGGUAUUGACGCUGAGGUGCGAAAGCGUGGGGAGCAAACAGG
Molecule: ribosomal RNA, 253 nt
Filed under: uncultured bacterium
Lineage: Bacteria
Description: partial 16S ribosomal RNA
Rfam family: Bacterial small subunit ribosomal RNA
Source: RNAcentral